RNAcentral lists this ribosomal RNA (465 nucleotides) under uncultured Klebsiella sp. RNAcentral describes it as "bacterial SSU rRNA". It matches the Rfam family "Bacterial small subunit ribosomal RNA", at positions 338 to 795 of the family's 1533-position model. Lineage: Bacteria; Pseudomonadati; Pseudomonadota; Gammaproteobacteria; Enterobacterales; Enterobacteriaceae. The record is from RNAcentral.
CCUACGGGUGGCAGCAGUGGGGAAUAUUGCACAAUGGGCGCAAACCUGAUGCAGCCAUGCCGCGUGUGUGAAGAAGGCCUUCGGGUUGUAAAGCACUUUCAGCGGGGAGGAAGGCGGUAAGGUUAAUAACCUCAUCGAUUGACGUUACCCGCAGAAGAAGCACCGGCUAACUCCGUGCCAGCAGCCGCGGUAAUACGGAGGGUGCAAGCGUUAAUCGGAAUUACUGGGCGUAAAGCGCACGCAGGCGGUCUGUCAAGUCGGAUGUGAAAUCCCCGGGCUCAACCUGGGAACUGCAUUCGAAACUGGCAGGCUAGAGUCUUGUAGAGGGGGGUAGAAUUCCAGGUGUAGCGGUGAAAUGCGUAGAGAUCUGGAGGAAUACCGGUAGCGAAGGCGGCCCCCUGGACAAAGACUGACGCUCAGGUGCGAAAGCGUGGGGAGCAAACAGGAUUAGAUACCCCGGUAGUC